RNAcentral lists this ribosomal RNA (450 nucleotides) under uncultured bacterium. RNAcentral describes it as "partial 16S ribosomal RNA". It matches the Rfam family "Bacterial small subunit ribosomal RNA", at positions 354 to 796 of the family's 1533-position model. The record is from RNAcentral.
GUGGGGAAUUUUGGACAAUGGGCGAAAGCCUGAUCCAGCCAUGCCGCGUGCAGGAUGAAGGCCUUCGGGUUGUAAACUGCUUUUGUACGGAACGAAAAGACUCCUUCUAAUAAAGGGGGUCCAUGACGGUACCGUAAGAAUAAGCACCGGCUAACUACGUGCCAGCAGCCGCGGUAAUACGAAGGGUGCGAGCGUUAAUCGGAAUUACUGGGCGUAAAGCGUGCGCAGGCGGCUUUGCAAGACAGAUGUGAAAUCCCCGGGCUCAACCUGGGAACUGCAUUUGUGACUGCAAGGCUAGAGUACGGCAGAGGGGGAUGGAAUUCCGCGUGUAGCAGUGAAAUGCGUAGAUAUGCGGAGGAACACCAAUGGCGAAGGCAAUCCCCUGGGCCUGUACUGACGCUCAUGCACGAAAGCGUGGGGAGCAAACAGGAUUAGAUACCCCUGUAGUCC